CUGCUGCCUUCCGUAGGAGUCUGGGCCGUGUCUCAGUCCCAAUGUGGCCGGCCAACCUCUCAGUCCGGCUACUGAUCGUCGCCUUGGUGGGCCGUUACCCCGCCAACUAGCUAAUCAGACGCGAGUCCAUCUCAGAGCGAUAAAUCUUUGAUGCCCAGUGCCAUGCGACACAGACAUAUUAUGCGGUAUUAGCAGCUGUUUCCAACUGUUAUUCCCCACUCCAAGGCAGGUUACUCACG
Molecule: ribosomal RNA, 239 nt
Filed under: uncultured bacterium
Lineage: Bacteria
Description: partial 16S ribosomal RNA
Source: RNAcentral